Molecule: long non-coding RNA, 365 nt
Organism: Triplophysa rosa
Lineage: Eukaryota; Metazoa; Chordata; Actinopteri; Cypriniformes; Nemacheilidae
Exons: 3
Source: RefSeq, a predicted model, not a curated record
UUCACAAACAAACGCCUUGAAAUAUUUACAAAAACAUAUCAUGUUUACUGAAGCUCUACUGUACAUCAGCACAAGCGUUAAUGGGCGUACCUUUGCGAUGUUAUGAGAUUCUCAACCCACAACCACUGCACAAGAAGCACACUGUGUUCCAAGACUCACCGUCACAGACGGGACAGCAUUGAUCUUCAGGCUGAAUCGUGUGAGGACACGAGAGGACGGGACAGAUCACCGGAUCACAGAUCACUGUUUUCUUCUGCACGAGAGAUAAAAAGAGUUGACAGCUCCAUGAACCAAGAUCAAAGUGUGUCGCAACUCUGUUUUUCAACGGCUCUGGGUUCGUUUACCUGUUGACCGUAGAAGCCGGU